Molecule: long non-coding RNA, 296 nt
Organism: Perca fluviatilis (European perch)
Lineage: Eukaryota; Metazoa; Chordata; Actinopteri; Perciformes; Percidae
Exons: 3
Source: RefSeq, a predicted model, not a curated record
CGUCAAAUGCUCCUGCUGAAGCCAUGGUGAUGGAUGAAGAUGAAGAGCUGGAGAGAGUGAUGCUGAGCAUUUCUCCUACCAAGCAACAUGAGCAAAGCUCUGUUUCUGCACCAGCAUCAUCAACUGCCAGACCACCACAGGCUUCUGGAACAGAUAGAGGUUCUUAACCAAAACGUCCUGCAUCAGCAGACAACUCUGGGACCAUGAAUUCUUAUCCCAAUAUGAAGCAUGACUUAAAGCUUUCCGUCUCAUGUUGACCAUGUUCUGGUCAUGUUUGUGUUUUGGUGUUCUACCUA